AGUGAACGCUGGCGGUAGGCCUAACACAUGCAAGUCGAACGGCAGCACAGUAAGAGCUUGCUCUUACGGGUGGCGAGUGGCGGACGGGUGAGGAAUACAUCGGAAUCUACUUUUUCGUGGGGGAUAACGUAGGGAAACUUACGCUAAUACCGCAUACGACCUACGGGUGAAAGCAGGGGAUCUUCGGACCUUGCGCGAAUGAAUGAGCCGAUGUCGGAUUAGCUAGUUGGCGGGGUAAAGGCCCACCAAGGCGACGAUCCGUAGCUGGACUGAGAGGAUGAUCAGCCACACUGGAACUGAGACACGGUCCAGACUCCUACGGGAGGCAGCAGUGGGGAAUAUUGGACAAUGGGCGCAAGCCUGAUCCAGCCAUACCGCGUGGGUGAAGGAGGCCUUCGGGUUGUAAAGCCCUUUUGUUGGGAAAGAAAAGCAGCAGGUUAAUACCACGCUGUUCUGACGGUACCCAAAGAAUAAGCACCGGCUAACUUCGUG
This 492-nucleotide ribosomal RNA is filed under the name uncultured bacterium. RNAcentral's name for it is "partial 16S ribosomal RNA". It matches the Rfam family "Bacterial small subunit ribosomal RNA", at positions 29 to 507 of the family's 1533-position model. The record is from RNAcentral.